GGGUACGACCAUACUUGGCCGAAUGCACCACAUCCCGUCCGAUUUGUGAAGUUAAGCGGUCACAGGCCUCGUUAGUACGGCGAUCAGUGAUGGCGCUGGAACCCGGGGUGUCGUACUCUGUUUUUU
Molecule: ribosomal RNA, 126 nt
Filed under: Trypanosoma rangeli
Lineage: Eukaryota; Euglenozoa; Kinetoplastea; Trypanosomatida; Trypanosomatidae
Source: RNAcentral